UGAACUGGGAUGACAGUGGGUGGCCUAAGAGUCGUGGGCCCUGAAUACAUGUCUGGAAGUCUGAGAUUCAC
Small nucleolar RNA from Apodemus sylvaticus (European woodmouse), 71 nucleotides. RefSeq annotates it as small nucleolar RNA SNORD113/SNORD114 family. The transcript has a single exon. The record is from RefSeq and is a predicted model, not a curated record. NCBI's taxonomy places the organism in Eukaryota, Metazoa, Chordata, Mammalia, Rodentia, Muridae.